Hemicordylus capensis (graceful crag lizard) is the source of this 5168-nucleotide long non-coding RNA. RefSeq lists it as uncharacterized. The transcript is spliced from 2 exons. The record is from RefSeq and is a predicted model, not a curated record. Lineage: Eukaryota; Metazoa; Chordata; Lepidosauria; Squamata; Cordylidae.
ACGAAAAGGGAAGCUUCUCCACUAGAGGGCGUCCGUGCAAAAGAAGCGGCAGCUUGGGAAGUCCGCUCUCGUAUCUCUUACGAGCACACCAAAGCGACAGCCAUCAAUUCAACCUGCAAUGCAUCCGUGACCGUCAGGGUUGCUAAGACUGGGGUUUCAGCCUCUGGAAAGUUUUAAUUAAUUGUGGGGUCACAGCAGCGGGUUUCGGAACACAACUCCCUCUCAAUCCUUCUCCCUAUCCGAAGAGGCUUGCCCCGAAAAAGCAGCCCAGUCACCUCCCUCCCACGGUGUUGUGGAAUAUAGAGGCACAGUGCCUCUGCGCACAUGCAGAGGGCCUUCCUGCUGAACGGAACAAAGCUGAUUUAUUUAUUUUUACAAAGAAGAAUUAAGCACACAGUGGCUCUGAGGAAAUUGCUAAGAUCGAAUCAGAAGCUGAGGGAAAUAAUGUAUGCAACACAGAGACACCAAUGUGAUGGAGGGGACAGCGCUAGAUCAGAACCAGAAGACCUGGUUUUAAAUCCUCGUCGGACAGUUACUACCUUUCAGCCUAACCUACCUCACAAGCCAGGACUCUGCUUCUUGGAAGAAAGACCGGAUAAAAAUGAAAUAAAUGCAGAGGCGCAGCGCAGCAAAGUUUAGAGUGGGCCCUGGGACAAAAAGUGAAUAUGGGCUCCUCCCCACCCCCAUCUUCUUCCGAAAAGUUCGGAGCUGAAGAAAAGUUGCUCUUUACAACAAACAUUCAUGCCGCUGGCGUCCCCCCCCCCCUUCCCCAGGAGCCCAGCAGAGACACUUGUGUCCAUCCUGUUCAUUUGUCCCCACACACCCCUGAAUAAAUGAUGAAACGCCACAGCACUCCUGGCCAUGCGUUUGUCACAGAGAGGCACGGCGUGUCUUUAAUUGCCCUUUGAAGACAUUAGACUGAGUGUGGUGGCUACUACGAGCUGCUUCUCAGCUUUCCAGUGCAUGCCUCUUGGAGAUGGGGAGAGAGGAGGAGGCGUGUCCAGAGAGCAGCACUCCUCACGGCCCCCGAGUGGAAAAGCUUCGGUGCGAUAUACUACACGCGACUCGAAAAUUAGAUUCCAUCCACGCUGGGCUUUGGAGACACGGCGUUUUCCACCACGUGCAAGAAAUGCAAGACGUGCGGCGCGUCGUGUCGCGUACAGACGGCGGCCAUUUUGAAUGUGGCAAUAGUGGUAGGGAACGCCUAGUAGGCUUCUGCCCUUCAUUGUGACAUGCCUUUGACUCCCCCUAGGGGCCCGAAAGAGAUUACUUAUGAAGGGGGCAGCAGAUUUUCAGUCAUCCUCCUGGAACCAGCACGUUUCUGCAUCUUCGUUUUCCGCAGCAGAGGGCCGGACCUGUAGCUCCACACAACAUGGAAGGAAAUCAAGAAACAACAUUUCAGCGAAAGUGUAGAUAGUACAAUGCUUCUGGAGUCGUUUUCACUUAAGGCACCAGUCUUACCGCAUGAAUGGCAGGCAGUAUGCUGUAAAUCGCCUGCCCUCGCUCACUUCCUUUCCCUUCCUCUGUUGUCUCCCUUAUAUUUCUUGUUCAGAUUAUGAGCCCCUUUGGGAUAGAGAACCGUCUUUUUCAUGCUGGGUAACGCGUGCUGCCCGCAGCUGACUUCCUACAUCAACGUUUUAUUUGGAUAUCUUACAAAUGAAAGUAAAGGUACAAUGCGUGAGAUCAAACGAACCUAAGCGUGUCUAUUUAAAAACUCGAUGGAGUUUAAGCCUCAGUUUAUUGAGUGUCUGAAUGCAGUAGGGUUUAUGCACACUUACUGGAGUUUAAGAUCACAGCUUUACAACCUUGUCUAUUCAAAGUAACCCUUACACAACCUCUGUAAGGUAGGGCAAUAAUAUUUAUCCCUAUAUUGCAAAGUGAGGGCUGGGCAAGAAGGAACAGGGGCUUUUCUAAAUUCAUCGAAUCUGUUCAUAGCUAUGGCAAGAUCUGGCCCAGGCAUUCGCUGGCUCCCAGCCACUAUUCCCUCUAAGGUGUGCACACACUCACAAGUUUUCUGAUGUCUGCUCAGUUAAUUUUAGAUCCCGCUCAGGUUGAAUUAGGAAGGCCUCACACUGACUGCAUGCACACACACAGUGCCUUGAUACUGCCGCCCAGAACAAAACUCAUUCCACACAGAGAUGGGAAAAAUUAGAGGGUGCUAUCAUAAUGCACCCAACUCUUGAUCAUGAAGGUAAGAGGUGCCUUCAUAUUCCAGUGCUGGCACUCUAUCAGCCUCAUCCUUUUGAAAGCCAGAGAUCUCUUGUUCAGAACAUCACAUGGUUCCUGGCAGGGCCUUUCUGCUUUUGUCAUGGCGUACAAUGUGAGCAGAAGGGGUAUGCCUGAUAGCCAGCCAGGAUUAGGAAGCUGGUCAAUUGAAGUAUUCCAUGGCAGCUGGGAAUUGGAGGCUUACCUUUUUAAUUACACAUGGUUUUACGCGGUCAGGGUCACACUCUCUUUACGUGGGAGCAGGCACACUCCUUCACAUAGCCAUCUGCUACAACUUCUGAACAGAACCAAAGCUUGCAGGAUUAGGCAGGAUUUUACCCUCUUGGCAAGUUGCCAGAAUAGGACGAUGUAUUCUGAACAAAUGUCAGCCAAGCUAGUUUGUGACUCAUGUACAUGAAUGUUUUGUCAGUGCACAAACCAAGGUGUCUCAUGUGUGGUAUAAAGGAUUUGUUUUGUAAAUGAAAAUACAUAGCAUGCUGUUUCUCUUCCCAUCUCUGAUCCUUAAUAACAGACCAUGGAAGUUGAUGACACCAUUUGGCAAGUAAUACAUAUGUGUUUUGGUCUUCCACGCUUUUGUAGAUGAAUAGGUUAGCCUAGAGCAAAGCCUGAAGGCACUUGGCCCUAAGUGUCAGUAUGUUUGUAAACAAAAAGGUAGUAGAAAUCAGAUUGCCUUCCAUUUGCUGUGAGCAAGAGGGGCUCCAAGUGAUCUGGUAUGGGGCACUGCCAACUUUUAAAAGGGACUAGAAGAGUGCUUGGCAAUUCCCAGCCUCCAGGAAGCCAUGCUGUCUAAAGAUUUAACUGUGGCAUCUAGACUGGUGUCACACUUCACCAGAAGGAACAGGUGCGCAGUCUGGGAGUGCUUCUGCAUCAACACCUCUCCCUGAUAUCCCAGGUUGAGGUGGUGGCUUCAGCUGAUACACCAGCUGCAUCUGUUUCUUGAGAUGAACAACCUCCAAACAGUGGCACACAUGCUGGCAACCUCCAGACUUGACUACUGCAAUGAACUCUAUGUGGGGCUGCCUUUGUACAUAGUCUAGAAACGGCAGUUGGUACAGAAUGUGGCAGCCAGGUUGGUCUCUGGGUCAACUUGAAGAGACCAUAUUACUCCUAUACUAAAAGAGCUACGCUGAUUACCGAUAAGUUUCUGGGCAAAAUACAAGGUGCUGGUUAUAACCUAUAAAGUCCUAAACCGUCCAGAGAUGAAAGUUUGGGUGGUAUAGAAGUUUAAUGAAUACAUAAAUAAAUAAAAAGCUUAGGCCCAGGCUUUUAAGGAGAACAUCUUCUGCCCCACCGCCCAUUGAGAUAAUCUUGAGAUGUCCAUUUGCAGCUGCCACCAGUCUGUCUGGCGGCCAUGCAGGGGCAAGUCUUUUCUGUUGCUGCCCCAAGACUCUGGCAUGGACAUCGGCACCCUUUGUACUGGACUUCUGGGCGGAAGUCCGGUCCCCCAUGCCCCCUAGGGCCUCCAAAUUCCCAUCUCCCUGCUGUGCUGCUGCCUGCCCACCAGCAAGGGCACCUGCAGCCCGAUCCCCUCCCAGCAGCAGCCUUCCUGAGCUUCGCCUAGCUGACCAUCAGCUGUUUAGUGGGUGGGCAAGGCUUCCGGAGGCCUUUCUGAUUUCCUGAAGCUCUCCAGGCAGCAGAGAAGAAAGGAGGCAGAAUGGUGUCCUGUGCACACUACAUGACCUGGCCUGUGCUGAGCCUGUGUCUGCCUGGGACAACUCCGCAGACCUAGUAAUGGAGGUACUGUAUGUGAUUUCCUUUUUGUAGUUGUUCCACCCACCUUUGAAUAUUUGUUGAACAGCUUGCCACAGGGCUUUGAUAUCAGGCACAGAUGUAGGGCAGGUUGGGAGGGCUCUAAAUAUUGAAUUUGAAGUGGAUUGGGCAAUUUGAUUUUUAAUAUAUAAUAAUAUAAGUGGGUUGGUCAAUCUAGUUUUUAAAUCAUUUCCCCCCAAUCUGCAUUAAAGCUGGCAGAAAGUAUUCUAUCUGCAGAGUACUUCACACCUAGUGAAAGUGGAGCUAACUGUUAACAUCCAAAUAAUCAGUUAAAAAAAAUGCCCUAUGCUCAAGUUGGUUUGCAAUCCAAGUGAGAAUUGUGAAGCAAGUGGCAUGUGUCGUGGUUUUAACUGUCCCCCCCGCCCCCAAAAUGCACUGUAUGUCCAAAGCUAGCUUGUGAACCAUAUGUGCAUUUGAACUGAGCAGGAAACGUAUUGUAUCCCAGUUAGUUUUUGAAUGGUCAAUAAAUCCAUUGGAAGUUGCACCGUCUUUUUUUUUUUUUUUUUUUAAUGCUCUCUGGCCUAUACCUGUCGCUUUGUGAUAAAUGAGCAAGGUGGUGGUAAUCAGCCAGAAUUUAAGUGCCAGGACUCUCAGUGCUAAAUAUGAUGUGGCUGUUCAGGUCACUGGGAAGUAUCCAAAUUUUUUCCUUAAAGAAACCAAAAGGGUUUUCCAGCUUUCCCUGAGCAUGUUCUGGUGUAAAAAGUUAGUACAUUCAGCUAAUUUAAGUGUCAGGAUUCUCAGUGCAAAAUGUAGUACGUGCAGGUCACUGGGAAGUAUCUUCUUCAGAAAUUUUUCUAAAAAACAAAGAAGUUUCCUGAUCUGGUGUAAGAAAUAAUGCCCUGCAGCUUAUUUUGUGGUGGGGUGGUGAGGGCAGUAGACCUCCAAAGGCCUUUAGGUCCAGGUUUCAAAAUUGUCUUGGUACACCUCUGGGCAUGUGCUCCCUGCUAAGAGCCUCCCCAUCUCUGACAACUUGUAACAAGUCCCUAAAACCUUAUCUUUUCACCCAAGCUUUUUAAUUUAACUGUGGUUUUUAAUUAUUUUAAGAGUUUUACAUGUAUGUUUUAACUUGUUUUAUGUUGUUGUAAACCAUCCAGAGACAGAAGUUUAGGGUGGUAUACAAAUCUGAUAAAUAAAUAGGUAGGAGUUAUUAAAUAACAUCUUUAUUUGUUCCA